Poecilia reticulata (guppy) is the source of this 356-nucleotide non-coding RNA. NCBI's taxonomy places the organism in Eukaryota, Metazoa, Chordata, Actinopteri, Cyprinodontiformes, Poeciliidae. The record is from RefSeq and is a predicted model, not a curated record.
CCAACUACCCGCACCUGAGGGGAAUCAUCGUUUGGAGCAGUAUAUAAUCAGCAGACAGCCAACACUUCCUUGCCAGAGUGUUUGCCAGUUUUGGAAUCCUUUGGAGCCCACCAGUCCAGAAGWAUCCAUCUGUGACGCCUCUGCUGCCGACUCAGCUGCUCCCCUGUGGGGACACACCUGACCUGCCACCCUCCAACGUCUGGUUCCUUCCCAACCUGCCUCCAUAGCUCUCUCCACUGCCUGGAACCCCGUUCCUCCAUCCAAUUGUCCAAACGCACCCGGACUCCGACCCGCUGACCUCCCUAGUCGGGCUACCUUGUUUGAUUUUUUGUAUUUUACAAUAAACACUCUUUUCA